This is a long non-coding RNA of Arabidopsis thaliana (thale cress), 419 nucleotides long. RefSeq annotates it as other RNA. The record is from RefSeq. NCBI's taxonomy places the organism in Eukaryota, Viridiplantae, Streptophyta, Magnoliopsida, Brassicales, Brassicaceae. The transcript has a single exon.
GAAACAUUUUCCUAGAAAUCACAAAACCCAAAAUUAGACCUACCCACACCAAAAUCAAACUUCCGAAAUAACCGUCCUUCACCGAUGUUAGCAUGAAACCUAAAUUGAAUCGGGUGAGUUAGGAGUUAGGACCAAUAGCCGAUGUUAGGGUUUGACAAUGAGUAGGGAGAUAGUGAAUCGUGUCUUCCUGUAGGUAAAGAAACCGAGAUCUAGGGUUUGGUCGAGAUUCGAAUGUUCUCGUUCUUCCUUUGAACCAGAAUGGUCGUGUACACGGUUAAAUGGCGUGAUAAGCACGCUAACACUUCAGGAGUAAUCUGUUCCUAUCGCACCUCUUGUCACAGACGGUGAACCCACUGGAAAACCUAAGUGAUUUUCUUAAUUUUCCCGCUAUUUUUGGGAUUUCUCAAAUUCGCCUCCAA